UAAGGAAUAUUGGUCAAUGGACGCAAGUCUGAACCAGCCAUGCCGCGUGAAGGAUGAAGGUCCUCUGGAUUGUAAACUUCUUUUAUCUGGGACGAAAACGGGAUUUUUAUCUCAAUUGACGGUACCAGAGGAAUAAGCACCGGCUAACUCCGUGCCAGCAGCCGUGGCAAUACGAAGGAUGCAAGCGUUAUCCGGAAUUAUUGGGUCUAAAGGGUGCGUAGGCGGACUAAUAAGUCAGUGGUGAAAGCCUGCAGCUUAACUGCAGAAUUGCCAUUGAUACUGUUAGUCUUGAGUACAGUUGAGGUAGGCGGAAUGUGUCAUGUAGCGGUGAAAUGCUUAGAUAUGACACAGAACACCGAUUGCGAAGGCAGCUUGCUAAGCUGUAACUGACGCUGAGGCACGAAAGCGUGGGGAGCAAACA
Molecule: ribosomal RNA, 421 nt
Filed under: uncultured bacterium
Lineage: Bacteria
Description: bacterial SSU rRNA
Rfam family: Bacterial small subunit ribosomal RNA
Source: RNAcentral